RNAcentral lists this ribosomal RNA (400 nucleotides) under uncultured bacterium. RNAcentral describes it as "bacterial SSU rRNA". It matches the Rfam family "Bacterial small subunit ribosomal RNA", at positions 355 to 747 of the family's 1533-position model. The record is from RNAcentral.
UGGGGAAUUUUGGACAAUGGGGGCAACCCUGAUCCAGCCAUGCCGCGUGUGCGAUGAAGGCCUUCGGGUUGUAAAGCACUUUUGGCAGGAACGAAAAGGCCUGGGCUAAUACCCCGGGCUGCUGACGGUACCUGCAGAAUAAGCACCGGCUAACUACGUGCCAGCAGCCGCGGUAAUACGUAGGGUGCAAGCGUUAAUCGGAAUUACUGGGCGUAAAGCGUGCGCAGGCGGCCAAGCAAGUCAGAUGUGAAAUCCCCGAGCUCAACUUGGGAACUGCAUUUGAAACUAUUUGGCUAGAGUGCGUCAGAGGGGGGUGGAAUUCCACGUGUAGCAGUGAAAUGCGUAGAUAUGUGGAGGAACACCGAUGGCGAAGGCAGCCCCCUGGGAUGACACUGACGCU